This 74-nucleotide transfer RNA is filed under the name Bacteriophage sp. Its description in RNAcentral is "tRNA-Gln". It matches the Rfam family "tRNA". From Rfam's summary of the family: Transfer RNA (tRNA) molecules are approximately 80 nucleotides in length. Their secondary structure includes four short double-helical elements and three loops (D, anti-codon, and T loops). Further hydrogen bonds mediate the characteristic L-shaped molecular structure. tRNAs have two regions of fundamental functional importance: the anti-codon, which is responsible for specific mRNA codon recognition, and the 3' end, to which the tRNAs corresponding amino acid is attached (by aminoacyl-tRNA synthetases). tRNAs cope with the degeneracy of the genetic code in two manners: having more than one tRNA (with a specific anti-codon) for a particular amino acid; and 'wobble' base-pairing, i.e. permitting non-standard base-pairing at the 3rd anti-codon position. The record is from RNAcentral.
UGAGGUAUCUUCUAAUGGUAGGAAACAAGACUUUGACUCUUGGAAUAGUGGUUCGAGUCCAUUUACCUCAGCCA